UAGGGAAUCUUCGGCAAUGGACGAAAGUCUGACCGAGCAACGCCGCGUGAGUGAAGAAGGUUUUCGGAUCGUAAAACUCUGUUGUUAGAGAAGAACAAGGACGUUAGUAACUGAACGUCCCCUGACGGUAUCUAACCAGAAAGCCACGGCUAACUACGUGCUAGCAGCCGCGGUAAUACGUAGGUGGCAAGCGUUGUCCGGAUUUAUUGGGCGUAAAGCGAGCGCAGGCGGUUUCUUAAGUCUGAUGUGAAAGCCCCCGGCUCAACCGGGGAGGGUCAUUGGAAACUGGGAGACUUGAGUGCAGAAGAGGAGAGUGGAAUUCCAUGUGUAGCGGUGAAAUGCGUAGAUAUAUGGAGGAACACCAGUGGCGAAGGCGGCUCUCGGGUCUGUAACUGACGCUGAGGCUCGAAAGCGUGGGGAGCAAACAGG
RNAcentral lists this ribosomal RNA (429 nucleotides) under Gemmatimonadota bacterium. RNAcentral describes it as "Gemmatimonadetes bacterium partial 16S ribosomal RNA". It matches the Rfam family "Bacterial small subunit ribosomal RNA", at positions 355 to 776 of the family's 1533-position model. The record is from RNAcentral. Lineage: Bacteria; Pseudomonadati; Gemmatimonadota.